This 254-nucleotide ribosomal RNA is filed under the name uncultured bacterium. RNAcentral's name for it is "partial 16S ribosomal RNA". It matches the Rfam family "Bacterial small subunit ribosomal RNA", at positions 524 to 776 of the family's 1533-position model. The record is from RNAcentral.
GACGUAGGGGGCAAGCGUUGUCCGGAUUUAUUGGGCGUAAAGAGCUCGUAGGCGGCUGAGCAAGUCAGAUGUGAAACCCUCGGGCUUAACCCGAGGCCGCCAUCUGAUACUGCUCUAGCUAGAGUUCGGUAGGGGACCAUGGAAUUCCUGGAGUAGCGGUGAAAUGCGCAGAUCUCAGGAGGAACACCAGCGGCGAAGGCGGUGGUCUAGGCCGAUACUGACGCUGAGGAGCGAAAGCGUGGGGAGCGAACAGG